Non-coding RNA from Salarias fasciatus (jewelled blenny), 70 nucleotides. The record is from the annotation of a RefSeq genome assembly. NCBI's taxonomy places the organism in Eukaryota, Metazoa, Chordata, Actinopteri, Blenniiformes, Blenniidae.
CAAGGAAUAGUUUAGUUUAGAAUCCUAGCUUUGGGAGUUAGGGGCGAGGGUUCAAAUCCCUCUUCUUUGA